UACGUAGGGGCAAGCGUUGUCCGGAAUAAUUGGGCGUAAAGGGCGCGCAGGCUGUUAUGCGAGUCUGCUGUGAAAUGUACCGGCUCAACCGGUGCCUUGCGGCGGAUACUGCAUAGCUGGAGUACUGGAGAGGGAAGUGGAAUUCACGGUGUAGCGGUGAAAUGCGUAGAUAUCGGGAGGAACACCGGUGGCGAAGGCGGCUUUCUGGCCAGUUACUGACGCUCAUGCACGAAAGCUGGGGUAGCGAACCGGAUUAGAUACCCCU
This 265-nucleotide ribosomal RNA is filed under the name uncultured prokaryote. Its description in RNAcentral is "partial 16S ribosomal RNA". It matches the Rfam family "Bacterial small subunit ribosomal RNA", at positions 524 to 789 of the family's 1533-position model. The record is from RNAcentral.